Molecule: ribosomal RNA, 429 nt
Filed under: uncultured bacterium
Lineage: Bacteria
Description: bacterial SSU rRNA
Rfam family: Bacterial small subunit ribosomal RNA
Source: RNAcentral
UGGGGAAUAUUGGACAAUGGGGGCAACCCUGAUCCAGCAAUGCCGCGUGUGUGAAGAAGGCCUUCGGGUUGUAAAGCACUUUAGGCUGGGAAGAAGUUACGUAGUUUAAGAGAUAGCGUAAUUGACGGUACCAGCAGAAUAAGCACCGGCUAACUCUGUGCCAGCAGCCGCGGUAAUACAGAGGGUGCAAGCGUUAAUCGGAAUUACUGGGCGUAAAGGGCGCGUAGGUGGUUAUAUAAGUGAGAUGUGAAAUCCCCGGGCUUAACCUGGGAAUUGCAUCUUAGACUAUGUAGCUGGAGGUCAGUAGAGGGUAGUGGAAUUUCCGGUGUAGCGGUGAAAUGCGUAGAUAUCGGAAGGAACACCAGUGGCGAAGGCGGCUACCUGGACUGAAUCUGACACUGAGGCGCGAGAGCGUGGGGAGCAAACAGG